AUCCCUCCUGAGAGGGAGAAUUAUGAUAAAAGUUUCAGCUCUGCUGUUUGGCCGAAUCCUCCAGGGGAGACUUUGGGCAGAGAAAUAUGGAGUUUGGGGACAGGCAGAGUCUGUGCUCUUGAAUCUACAUCUCUCUCCUUUCCAGGUGAAGCUGAGUGUUUCUCUGUGUUGAGAAAAAGCAACUGGAUGUUCCACCUUGUGAGAGUCCUUUGAUUCUUCUAAUUCUUCUUUAGAAACAGGAAAGGGAUUCAUUGAUUCACACCAUCAAUUAUGGACCUCCUGCUUCUGCUUCUGAUGCUGCUUUUGUCCCAUUCAGUCUCUGGGAAGCUGAGAAUGAAAUGCCCAUUGAGUUUGGAGAACCAGGAUGGGAAACCAUGGAGCUACUACAGACCAGGAGACCAUCUAAUCAGUAUAGUCAUCAGUGGAAAUGAAAUAUUGCAUACAAAGUUGCCUUUCAACGUGGCUCCUUCUCUUCAGUUUGCUUUCUAUGAUUCGACUUCUUUUUUUUGCUUAGUAUUCAUUUUCAACAUUCAACUGGCCAACAAGAAUUCCCAUCUCUUGCACAAUCUCACACUGGGCUACAACAUCCAUAACAACUAUUUGAGCACUUUCUACACUUCAGAUGCCUUGCUGGACAUGCUCUCCACUGGAGAAGCCAAUGUCCCCAACUACAGCUGUGGAAGGAAGGAGAACCUCCUGGCUCUUCUUGAUGGAACCAAGAGGGAGAUCUCCAUCCAAAUGUCAACAUUAGGAGACACCUACAAAGUCCCACAGAACAUCUUUUCUGUCAAAGGCCGCAGAAGAUGCACCCAGAAAACCCCACUGGAGACCCAGAAGAAAAGGAACAGAAAAAGGAUACCAAAUGACGAUCACUUUUACAGUAUGAUGAAGACUCUGGCCCAGGCCUUGAAUGCCGCUUAUUCCUCCAGAUCGAGGAGGAGAAGGAAGGAGAGUGAAAAGACUUUGGGGUUUCCAAGGCUGCAGCCAUGGCAGUUUCAUCCCUUUGUGGAGAAGAACGAGUUUUGCAAUAUUUCCAGCAUUAAACUGUACUUGGACCAAAAUGGAGAGAUAACGGCAGAUCUGAUGAUUGACAGUUUCUUGGUUCUCCCCAAGAAGUCUCCCAGGAUAGAGACUCUGGCGUAUUUUGUAAGACAGAGACUUUUUAUUGACCAAGAUACUCUUUCACUGCUAAAGUUGCUCAAUAAGUCCCUGCCACAGUCCAAAUGUGUGGAAAGUUGUCAUCCUGGAUUUGUCAAGAGGGCUCGAGAAGGUGAGCCAGUUUGCUGCUAUGACUGUGUUCCUUGUCCGGAGGGGACCUUCUCCACUCAGGAAGGUUCCUCACCAACUGGCUGUUCACAACCGGGAUGUGGAGGCCCUCAGUCCCAGGCGUUGGGCAUCAUGGGCCUCUGGAGCGUUGCUGGAGGCGAAGAGUCAGGUGAAGAUGGCUUGUCUUCCCCCUCAGGACUGGACGGCUCAUCCUCCUCAUCUGGACCAGAUGGGGCCAACUGAGCGUGCUCAGAACUCAUUCCAGCCCAGGAGCCGAUGGGGGCGGACCUCUCCCUUUGUGCUUCAGAGCCAGGCCUGGGCCCAGGCCUGUGGGGCUCUGAAGAGUCUUCUGGAAGCCCCCCUGGUACUGGAACACUUACCAGGGGGCGAAGGCUGCAGGAUGGGGCUGGAAAAGCCUGAAAAUGCUGAGGAUCGCCUGGAGGGGCCCACCGCUGGCCCUGAAGACUCCAGAGGAGGCAUCCAUCUUGGGAGGUGGGAGGCUCGGCUGGAGGCCUCCUGAAGUCAUCAAGAGGCAGUUCUGUGGCUGUUGUUGGGAGGUGUGCACGUCAGCCCGUCUGCAACAAUCUCCAGCAUACAUCUACAAAUCAAUCCCUUUGGGGCAUAGGAAUGCUUUGAUGCCUACACAGAGUUGCAGCAACCCUCCCUCAAACCCAAAGUCAAAUGUCUUUUGCUGCAGGAGGUGAGAGGCGAGUAGGAGGCCGCGAGCCCUGUGUCAGAAAGGGAUGUUUCUAACCCCCACCAGGUUAUCCAAGACAAGGUAUUUUCGGUUGGAGAACUAGAACUAGGCGACAGCAACAGGCGUGGAAGGACAGACCUACAUUUGAGCAUACAUUUGAACCUCUCCCUCCAAGAUCCUUCAAGAAGAUCUUUCUGUUUAUGGCUAGUUGAAUUUGGUUUAGGGGUAUAAAUUUGCCAUAGGUGUACAGUAAAGGCCACCUAACCAAGCAGAAGAAAGGGAUGGACUUUCUGCUAACCAGUUAAGCAAAUGUAUGUAGGAAACACACCACAGCAGUAAUGGGAGACUUAACUAUCCUAACAUCAACUGGGAGACAAACUCUGCAUCAAUUGAGAGGUCAAUCAGGUUCGUGACCGACCGAGCUAACUACUUUGUCAUCCAAAAGGUAGAGGAGGGAUCGAGAGGGACAGCUAUACUCAUCUAAUGCUUACUAACAGAGGAAAAAUGACAGAGGAGGUUGGAGUUCCAGGAACUUUGGGGGAGAGGGACCAUGUCAUAUUAGAAUUAAACAUCAUGCAGAAACCAGCAAUAGAACAUAAUCCAACCAGUGUCUUAAGACUAUUUCAACAAACAUAAAGACAGCUUUAGAAGGAUUCCAUGGAUGAAAAUCAAGGGAAAAAUAAUUCAAGAAGCUUGGGAAACUCUGAAAAAUACAAUCAUAAAAGCCCAGUCCAGCACAAUAUCACUGGAAAAGAAAAAUAACAAAUCCAAGAAGAAACCAGUAUAAAUGCACAAUGAACUCUCUGAUAAAUCAAAAGAUAAAAAGGAUAAGUAUAAAAAUUGGAAAGAGGGACACAUAAUUAAGGCAGAAUACCAGCAAAUAGCCCAAAUCCGCAAAGACAAAGUCAGAAUGACUUAGUUCUGAACUAAGACUUGGGAGGGGGAAAAGGCAAAAAUAAUUUUAAAAAGAGUUUCUUCCAACAUAAAAAAACAAGAAAAAAGUCAAGGAAACAAUCGGUCCACUAAUGGGAGAAGAUGACAAGGAAGUGACAGUCAGCAGGGAGAAAGCAGAAAUGCUUAAUCCUUUCUUUGCAUCUGUUUUCACACAAAAAGAAAAAACCACCCAACCUACCAAAAACAGAACUGUAAAAGACAGACUAGGAAUUCAAAUUAAAAUAAGCAAGAAAAUGGUGAGAGAACACCUGUCCGCUCUAGACGAGUUCAAAUCCCUGGGACCUGACAGACUCUAUCCCAGGGUUCUGAAGGAGCUGGCAGACAUUGAAACACAUCUGUCAAAAAUCCUGAAGCACCAAGGAAUUGCCAGAGUUCAAUACCCAAUCAAAAAAAAAUAAAAAUGAAAUUGAAUGGGUGAAAUGA
This is a non-coding RNA of Pantherophis guttatus, 3340 nucleotides long. The record is from RefSeq and is a predicted model, not a curated record. NCBI's taxonomy places the organism in Eukaryota, Metazoa, Chordata, Lepidosauria, Squamata, Colubridae.